This 253-nucleotide ribosomal RNA is filed under the name uncultured bacterium. RNAcentral's name for it is "partial 16S ribosomal RNA". It matches the Rfam family "Bacterial small subunit ribosomal RNA", at positions 524 to 776 of the family's 1533-position model. The record is from RNAcentral.
UACGUAGGUGGCAAGCGUUGUCCGGAUUUACUGGGCGUAAAGAGCGCGCAGGCGGUCGUCCAAGUCGCGUGUGAAAGCCCCCGGCUCAACUGGGGAGGGUCACGCGAUACUGGUCGACUCGAAGGCAGGAGAGGGUAGUGGAAUUCCGGGUGUAGCGGUGGAAUGCGUAGAGAUCCGGAAGAACACCGGUGGCGAAGGCGGCCUGCUGGGCAGUAGCUGACACUGAGGCGCGACAGCGUGGGGAGCAAACAGG